Molecule: ribosomal RNA, 221 nt
Filed under: Staphylococcus epidermidis
Lineage: Bacteria; Bacillati; Bacillota; Bacilli; Caryophanales; Staphylococcaceae
Description: partial 16S ribosomal RNA
Rfam family: Bacterial small subunit ribosomal RNA
Source: RNAcentral
AAAUGUGUAAGUAACUAUGCACGUCUUGACGGUACCUAAUCAGAAAGCCACGGCUAACUACGUGCCAGCAGCCGCGGUAAUACGUAGGUGGCAAGCGUUCUCCGGAAUUAUUGGGCGUAAAGCGCGCGUAGGCGGUUUUUUAAGUCUGAUGUGAAAGCCCACGGCUCAACCGUGGAGGGUCAUUGGAAACUGGAAAACUUGAGUGCAGAAGAGGAAAGUGG